This 54-nucleotide transfer RNA is filed under the name Paratemnoides elongatus. Its description in RNAcentral is "tRNA-Ser". The record is from RNAcentral. Lineage: Eukaryota; Metazoa; Arthropoda; Arachnida; Pseudoscorpiones; Atemnidae.
UUUAAAGGAUGGAAAGAGCUGCUAACUCUUUAAAAUUAACCUUUAUGUUUAUAA